This 253-nucleotide ribosomal RNA is filed under the name uncultured bacterium. RNAcentral describes it as "partial 16S ribosomal RNA". It matches the Rfam family "Bacterial small subunit ribosomal RNA", at positions 524 to 776 of the family's 1533-position model. The record is from RNAcentral.
UACGGAGGGUGCAAGCGUUAUCCGGAUUCACUGGGUUUAAAGGGUGCGUAGGUGGGCAGGUAAGUCAGUGGUGAAAUCUCCGGGCUUAACUCGGAAACCGCCAUUGAUACUAUCUGUCUUGAAUACCGUGGAGGUCAGCGGAAUAUGUCAUGUAGCGGUGAAAUGCUUAGAUAUGACAUAGAACACCAAUUGCGAAGGCAGCUGGCUACACGAAUAUUGACACUGAUGCACGAAAGCGUGGGGAUCAAACAGG